GACGAACGCUGGCGGCGUGCUUAACACAUGCAAGUCGAACGGUAAGGCCCUGCUUUUGUGGGGUGCUCGAGUGGCGACGGGGGGGUAACACGUGGGUUACCCGCCCUUGACUUUGGGAUCAUCUCAAGAAACUGGGGCCUAUACCGGAUAAGGUGUUCUGGCGCCUGGGGGGGGUUGGGAAGUUUCGGGGGUUGGGGAUGGACUCGCGGCUUAUCGGCUUGGUGGGGGGGGAGGUGCUUAAGAAGGCGUUGGCGGGGUGGCCGCCUGGGAGGGUGACCAGCCACAUUGGGACUGAGGUACGGCCCAGACUCCUACGGGGGGCAGCAGUGGGGAGUAUUGCACAAUGGGGGGAAGCCUGAUGCAGCAACGCCGCGUGCGUGAUGACGGCCUUCGGGUUGUAAACCGCUUUCGCCUGUGACGAAGCGUGAGUGACGGUAAUGGGUAAAGAAGCACCGGCUAACUACGUG
This 467-nucleotide ribosomal RNA is filed under the name uncultured bacterium. Its description in RNAcentral is "partial 16S ribosomal RNA". It matches the Rfam family "Bacterial small subunit ribosomal RNA", at positions 28 to 507 of the family's 1533-position model. The record is from RNAcentral.